RNAcentral lists this unclassified non-coding RNA (246 nucleotides) under uncultured Chaetomiaceae. RNAcentral describes it as "sequence contains ITS2". The stretch from base 1 to 52 matches the Rfam family "5.8S ribosomal RNA", at positions 103 to 154 of the family's 154-position model. The record is from RNAcentral. Lineage: Eukaryota; Fungi; Ascomycota; Sordariomycetes; Sordariales.
AACGCACAUUGCGCCCGCCAGUAUUCUGGCGGGCAUGCCUGUUCGAGCGUCAUUUCAACCAUCAAGCCCCCGGCUUGUGUUGGGGACCUGCGGCUGCCGCAGGCCCUGAAAACCAGUGGCGGGCUCGCUGUCACCCCGAGCGUAGUAGUUACAUCUCGCUCUGGGAGUGCUGCGGGUUCCGGCCGUUAAACGCCUUAUUUACCCAAGGUUGACCUCGGAUCAGGUAGGAAGACCCGCUGAACUUAA